Molecule: ribosomal RNA, 253 nt
Filed under: uncultured bacterium
Lineage: Bacteria
Description: partial 16S ribosomal RNA
Rfam family: Bacterial small subunit ribosomal RNA
Source: RNAcentral
UACGUAGGGGCCUAGCGUUGUCCGGAUUUAUUGGGCGUAAAGAGCUCGUAGGCGGCUUGUCGCGUCGACCGUGAAAACUCGCAGCUCAACUGCGAGCCUGCGGUCGAUACGGGCAGGCUAGAGUUCGGUAGGGGAGACUGGAAUUCCUGGUGUAGCGGUGAAAUGCGCAGAUAUCAGGAGGAACACCGAUGGCGAAGGCAGGUCUCUGGGCCGAUACUGACGCUGAGGAGCGAAAGCGUGGGGAGCGAACAGG